RNAcentral lists this transfer RNA (73 nucleotides) under Marmota monax (woodchuck). RNAcentral describes it as "tRNA.Val". Lineage: Eukaryota; Metazoa; Chordata; Mammalia; Rodentia; Sciuridae. The record is from RNAcentral.
GUGGGAUUGUGGCUCAGUGGUAGAGCUAUUGUCUAACAUGUGCGAGACCCUGGGUUCAAUCCUCAGCACCACA